This 482-nucleotide ribosomal RNA is filed under the name uncultured bacterium. RNAcentral's name for it is "partial 16S ribosomal RNA". It matches the Rfam family "Bacterial small subunit ribosomal RNA", at positions 30 to 507 of the family's 1533-position model. The record is from RNAcentral.
AUUGAACGCUGGCGGCAUGCCUUACACAUGCCAGUCGAACGGUAACAGGUCUUCGGAUGCUGACGAGUGGCGAACGGGUGAGUAAUACAUCGGAACGUGCCCGAUCGUGGGGGAUAACGAGGCGAAAGCUUUGCUAAUACCGCAUACGAUCUACGGAUGAAAGCGGGGGAUCUUCGGACCUCGCGCGGACGGAGCGGCCGAUGGCAGAUUAGGUCGUGUGUGGGAUAAAAGCUUACCAAGCCGACGAUCUGUAGCUGGUCUGCGAGGAUGAUCAGCCACACUGGGACUGAGACACGGCCCAGACUCCUACGGGAGGCAGCAGUGUGGAAUUUUGGACAAUGGGCGAAAGCCUGAUCCAGCCAUGCCGCGUGCAGGAUGAAGGCCUUUGGGUUGUAAACUGCUUUUGUACGGAACGAAAAGCCUCUUUCUAAUAAAGAGAGGUCAUGACGGUACCGUAAGAAUAAGCACCGGCUAACUACGUG